Molecule: ribosomal RNA, 301 nt
Filed under: uncultured bacterium
Lineage: Bacteria
Description: partial 16S ribosomal RNA
Rfam family: Bacterial small subunit ribosomal RNA
Source: RNAcentral
CAGUAGCCACGGUAAUACGUAGGGUGCAAGCGUUAAUCGGAAUUACUGGGCGUAAAGCGUGCGCAGGCGGUUUGUUAAGACAGAUGUGAAAUCCCCGGGCUCAACCUGGGAACUGCAUUUGUGACUGGCAAGCUAGAGUGUGGCAGAGGGGGGUGGAAUUCCGCGUGUAGCAGUGAAAUGCGUAGAUAUGCGGAGGAACACCGAUGGCGAAGGCAGCCCCCUGGGACAACACUGACGCUGAGGCACGAAAGCGUGGGGAGCAAACAGGAUUAGAGACCCGCGUAGUCCCUGUCUCUUAUAC